Molecule: ribosomal RNA, 1503 nt
Filed under: uncultured prokaryote
Description: partial 16S ribosomal RNA
Rfam family: Bacterial small subunit ribosomal RNA
Source: RNAcentral
UUGAUCCUGGCUCAGGACGAACGUUGGCGGCGUGCUUAACACAUGCAAGUCAAGGGGAAAGGUUGUCUUCGGACGGCCGAGUAUACUGGUCGAGUGGCGGACGGGUGAGUAACACGUGAGCAACCUGCCCGGAAAAGGGGGAUAGCCCGAGGAAACUCGGAUUAAUACCGCGUAUGGUCUGGCACGGCAUCGUGCUAAGAUUAAAGGUGGCUUCGGCUGCCGUUUCCGGAUGGGCUCGCGGCCUAUCAGUUUGUUGGUGGGGUAACGGCCUACCAAGGCGACGACGGGUAGCUGGUCUGAGAGGAUGAUCAGUCACACUGGAACUGAGACACGGUCCAGACACCUACGGGUGGCAGCAGUCGAGAAUCAUUCACAAUGGGCGAAAGCCUGAUGAUGCGACGCCGCGUGGAGGAUGACGGUCUUAGGAUUGUAAACUCCUGUCAUCGGGGAGUAAAGCUCUGGCGUUAAUAGCGUCAUGAGCCUGAUAGUACCCGAAGAGGAAGGGGCGGCUAACUCCGUGCCAGCAGCCGCGGUAACACGGAGGCCCCGAGCGUUGUUCGGAUUUACUGGGCGUAAAGAGUGCGUAGGCGGCGAGGUAAGUCAGAUGUGAAAUCUCGGGGCUCAACCCCGAAACUGCAUCCGAUACUGCCUUGCUAGAGGGCUGGAGAGGAAACUGGAAUUGGUGGUGUAGCAGUGAAAUGCGUAGAUAUCAUCAGGAAGACCAAUGGCGAAGGCAGGUUUCUGGACAGCUCCUGACGCUGAGGCACGAAGGCCAGGGUAGCGAAAAGGAUUAGAUACCCUUGUAGUCCUGGCAGUAAACGGUGUGCGCUUGGUGUGGGAGGUUUCGACCCCUUCCGUGCCGGAGCUAACGCGUUAAGCGCACCGCCUGGGGAGUACGGCCGCAAGGCUAAAACUCAAAGAAAUUGACGGGGACCCGCACAAGCGGUGGAGUAUGUGGCUUAAUUCGAUGCAACGCGAAGAACCUUACCUAGGUUUGACAUGUAGGGAUAAACCGGUGAAAGCCGGGGAGCGUAGCAAUACGCAAUUUGCACAGGUGCUGCAUGGCUGUCGUCAGCUCGUGUCGUGAGAUGUUGGGUUAAGUCCCGCAACGAGCGCAACCCCUGUGAUUAGUUACCAGCGAGUAAAGUCGGGGACUCUAGUCAGACUGCCCAGAUCAACUGGGAGGAAGGUGGGGACGACGUCAAGUCAGUAUGGCCCUUACGCCCAGGGCUGCACACGUACUACAAUGCCCAGUACAAUGAGAACCGAGACUGCAAAGUGGAGGAAAUCUAUAAAACUGGGCCCAGUUCGGAUUGUGGGCUGCAACUCGCCCACAUGAAGCCGGAAUCGCUAGUAAUGGCGCAUCAGCUACGGCGCCGUGAAUACGUUCCCGGGUCUUGUACACACGCCCGUCACAUCAUGGAAGCCGGCAGCGCCCGAAGUAUCCGUGCUAACUUCGUGAAGCAGGAUCCUAAGGUGAAGCUGGUAACUGGGAUGAAGUCG